CCUACGGGAGGCAGCAGUAAGGAAUAUUGGACAAUGCCCACAAGGGUGAUCCAGCCAUGCCGCGUGCAGGAAGACGGCCUAUGGGUUGUAAACUGCUUUUACACCGGAGAUAGUAUGGUGAGAAUAAGCAUCGGCUAACUUCGUGCCAGCAGCCGCGGUAAGACGAAGGAUGCAAGCGUUAUCCGGAUUCAUUGGGUUUAAAGGGAGCGUAGGCGGCCUUAUAAGUCAGUGGUGAAAUCUUUGGGCUUAACCCAAAAAUUGCCAUUGAUACUGUAGGGCUUGAGUACAGUUGCUGUGGGCGGAAUAUGACAUGUAGUGGUGAAAUACAUAGAGAUGUCAUAGAACACCGAUUGCGAAGGCAGCUCACAAAACUGUACUGACGCUGAGGCUCGAAAGUGCGGGGAUCAAACAGGAUUAGAUACCCUAGUAGUC
This 432-nucleotide ribosomal RNA is filed under the name uncultured bacterium. RNAcentral's name for it is "partial 16S ribosomal RNA". It matches the Rfam family "Bacterial small subunit ribosomal RNA", at positions 338 to 795 of the family's 1533-position model. The record is from RNAcentral.